RNAcentral lists this ribosomal RNA (253 nucleotides) under uncultured bacterium. Its description in RNAcentral is "partial 16S ribosomal RNA". It matches the Rfam family "Bacterial small subunit ribosomal RNA", at positions 524 to 776 of the family's 1533-position model. The record is from RNAcentral.
UACGGAGGGGGCUAGCGUUGUUCGGAUUUACUGGGCGUAAAGCGCGCGUAGGCGGCUUUGCAAGUCAGUGGUGAAAGCCUGGAGCUCAACUCCAGAACUGCAUUUGAAACUGCAUCGCUAGAAUCAUGGAGAGGUUAGUGGAAUUCCGAGUGUAGAGGUGAAAUUCGUAGAUAUUCGGAAGAACACCAGUGGCGAAGGCGACUAGCUGGACAUGUAUUGACGCUGAGGUGCGAAAGCGUGGGGAGCAAACAGG